AGAGACUUAGGAUAAACCAGACCAAGAGCCUUCAAAGCCCUCAGCAGGAGUGAAAGCCUCCUAGUCUCUG
This 70-nucleotide transfer RNA is filed under the name Latimeria menadoensis (Menado coelacanth). Its description in RNAcentral is "tRNA-Trp". Lineage: Eukaryota; Metazoa; Chordata; Coelacanthiformes; Coelacanthidae. The record is from RNAcentral.